This 427-nucleotide ribosomal RNA is filed under the name uncultured bacterium. Its description in RNAcentral is "bacterial SSU rRNA". It matches the Rfam family "Bacterial small subunit ribosomal RNA", at positions 335 to 755 of the family's 1533-position model. The record is from RNAcentral.
ACUCCUACGGGAGGCAGCAGUGGGGAAUAUUGCACAAUGGGGGAAACCCUGAUGCAGCCAUGCCGCGUGUGUGAAGAAGGCCUUGGGUUGUAAAGCACUUUCAGUAGGGAGGAAGGUAGUGUAGUUAACACCUGCAUUAUUUGACGUUACCUACAGAAGAAGCACCGGCUAACUCCGUGCCAGCAGCCGCGGUAAUACGGAGGGUGCGAGCGUUAAUCGGAAUUACUGGGCGUAAAGCGCAUGCAGGCGGCCUGUUAAGUCAGAUGUGAAAGCCCGGGGCUUAACCUCGGAAUUGCAUUUGAAACUGGCAGGCUAGAGUCUUGUAGAGGGGUUAGAAUUUCAGGUGUAGCGGUGAAAUGCGUAGAGAUCUGAAGGAAUACCAGUGGCGAACGGCGGCCCCCUGGACAAAGACUGACGCUCAGAUGCG